UGGUGUCUUUCUGAACUCCCCCGACCGUUCGAGCUUCCAUAAUACCAUCCAAACUCCAAUAAUGAGCUCCUCCAUUCAUCUAUCGAACUACCCCAAAUGCUCUCUGAACUUCACUAUCAGCCAAUUUUCGACAGUGAUCGACUAUUCUCCGAAUCUCUUUCAGACUUCUUCCGGCCACGAACGACUUUACUCUGAACUUCUUUCGAACUUCAUCAAUGUUCGAGCUUCUCCA
This 232-nucleotide long non-coding RNA is filed under the name Elaeis guineensis (African oil palm). RNAcentral describes it as "long non-coding RNA (EGUI_LNC060950)". Lineage: Eukaryota; Viridiplantae; Streptophyta; Magnoliopsida; Arecales; Arecaceae. The record is from RNAcentral.